This 1896-nucleotide ribosomal RNA is filed under the name Polymastigidae sp. NmTmA. RNAcentral describes it as "SSU rRNA". It matches the Rfam family "Eukaryotic small subunit ribosomal RNA". The record is from RNAcentral. Lineage: Eukaryota; Preaxostyla; Oxymonadida; Polymastigidae.
UCAAAGAUUAAGCCAUGCAUGUGUAAGUAUAAACAAAUUAUAUUGUGAAACUGCGAAUGGCUCAUUAAAUCAGUUAUAAUUUAUUUGAUAAUGACAUUUACUAUAUGGAUAGCCGUAGUAAUUCUAGAGCUAAUACAUGCGUAAAGGUCAAACUCUAUUGGGAAUGACUGUAUUUAUUAGAUCGAAGACCAAACCCGUAAGGGAUUAGGUGAAUCAUAAUAAGUUUGUCGAAUCGUGAUUUAUUUCACGAUGUGUCAUUGAAAUUUCUGCCCUAUCAACUUGUGAUGGUAGGAUAGAGGCCUACGAUGGUUUUGACGGGUAACGGGGAAUUAGGGUUCGAUUCCGGAGAGGGAGCCUGAGAAACGGCUACCACUUCUAAGGAGGGCGGCAGGCGCGCAAAUUACCCAAUCCCAAUAAUUAUGGGGAGGUAGUGACAAAAAAUACUGAUUCGUUGCACAAUAGUGUGAUGAAAUUGGAAUGGUCUGGAUAUAACACAUCCAGAGAGAAACAAUUAGAGGGCAAGUCUGGUGCCAGCAGCCGCGGUAAUUCCAGCUCUAAUAGUGUAUACUAAAAUUGCUGCAGUUAAAAAGCUCGUAGUUGGAUUUGUGAUACUAGACAUUUUCCAUUAGUUAGAGGUUCUGAUGGUACUAAGUCAGGCUUCAUAUGGCUGAUGGGUGUGUAGAAUCAAAUGAAUUUUUCGAAGGGGUAUAUUACACUUAAUUGUGAUAAUGUAUCUACUCGGAGGGUUUACUUUGAAGAAAAUGGAGUGUUCAAAGCAGGUAAAUAAAAUGCAACUGAACAGAUUAGCAUGGAAUAAUAAAAUAGGACACGAAGGUUCUCGGUAGUACGAGGAUCACUAUGAUUAUGAAAGUAAUUGUAGUUGCUGUUUUGUUGGUCCACAGUAUAUGUGUAAUGAUUAAUAGGGACAGUUGGGGACAUUGGUAUUGCAUCGUCAGAGGUGAAAUUCUUGGAUUGAUGCAAGACGAACGAGUGCGAAAGCAUUUGUCAAGGAUGUUUUCAUUAAUCAAGAACGAAAGUUAGGGGAUCGAAGGCGAUCAGAAACCGCCCUAGUCUUAACUAUAAACUAUGCCAACUAGGGAUUGUCGGGUAUAUGAAAUAUUUUCGGAUAUUUCUGUUAUGCUAGAUUUAUGUGGGAACUUGUUCCUGUGUAAAUUGCCUCGCCAGCACCUGUGGAGAAAUCAUAAGUCUUUGGGUUCUGGGGGGAGUAUGGUCACAAGGCUGAAACUUAAAGAAAUUGACGGAAGGGCACCACCAGGUGUGGAGCCUGCGGCUUAAUUUGACUCAACACGGGGAAACUUACCAGGUCCAGACAGCGGAAGGAUUGACAGAUUGAUAGUUUUUUCUUGAUUCGGUGGGUGGUGGUGCAUGGUCGUUCUUAGUUGGUGGAGCGAUUUGUCUGCUUAAUUGCGAUAACGAACGAGACCUCAACCUGCUAAAUAAGCUUUUCGGUAGUUUUGUGCUACCGGUUAAAAUUAAGCUGCUUAGAGGGACAACCACUAUUGAAGUGGGGGAAGCAUGAGGCAAUAACAGGUCUGUGAUGCCCUUAGAUGUCCUGGGCCGCACGCGCGCUACACUGAUUAAAUCAACAAGCUCAGAUAUAAGAAAUCUUUCGGGAUGACUUUUCUCCUUAUCCGAAAGGAUUGGGUAAUCUUUUGAAUUUUAAUCGUGCUGGGGAUUGAUUUUUGUAAUUAUGGAUCAUGAACUAGGAAUACCUAGUAAGUGCAAUUCAUCAGAUUGCGCUGAUUACGUCCCUGCCCUUUGUACACACCGCCCGUCGCUCCUACCGAUUGAAUGAUCAGAUGAAAUUCUCGGAUUGCGUCAAAAGGGGUUAAAGCCUUUUGUAUACAAGAAGAGAAGUGAAUCUUAUUAUUUAGA